UAGCAUAUCAAUAAGCGGAGGAAAAGAAACCAACAGGGAUUGCCCUAGUAACGGCGAGUGAAGCGGCAACAGCUCAAAUUUGAAAUCUGGCCUCGGCCCGAGUUGUAAUUUGCAGAGGAUGCUUCUGGCGCGGUGCCUUCCGAGUUCCCUGGAACGGGACGCCACAGAGGGUGAGAGCCCCGUAUGGUCGGACACCAAGCCUGUGUGAAGCUCCUUCGACGAGUCGAGUAGUUUGGGAAUGCUGCUCUAAAUGGGAGGUAAAUCUCUUCUAAAGCUAAAUACCGGCCAGAGACCGAUAGCGCACAAGUAGAGUGAUCGAAAGAUGAAAAGCACCUUGAAAAGGGGGUUAAAUAGUACGUGAAAUUGUUGAAAGGGAAGCACUUAUGACCAGACUUGGGCCGGGCGGCUCAUCAGGGGUUCUCCCCUGUGCACUCCGCCCGGCACAGGCCAGCAUCGGUUCUCGUGGGGGGAUAAGACCGUCAGGAACGUAGCACUCUCCGGAGUGUGUUAUAGCCUGGCGGACGAUACCCCCGUGGGGACCGAGGUCCGCGCAUUGCAAGGAUGCUGGCGUAAUGGUCAUCAGUGACCCGUCUUGAAACACGGACCAAGGAGUCGUCCAUUAGAGCGAGCGUUUGGGUGUAAAACCCGCACGCGUAAUGAAAGUGAACGCAGGUGAGAGCUUCGGCGCAUCAUCGACCGAUCCUGAUGUUCUCGGAAGGAUUUGAGUAAGAGUUUUAACGGACGGACCCGAAAGACAGUGAACUAUGCUUGAAUAGGGUGAAGCCAGAGGAAACUCUGGUGGAGGCUCGCAGCGGUUCUGACGUGCAAAUCGAUCGUCAAAUUUGAGCAUGGGGGCGAAAGACUAAUCGAACU
RNAcentral lists this ribosomal RNA (873 nucleotides) under Diaporthe foeniculina. RNAcentral describes it as "partial large subunit ribosomal RNA". It matches the Rfam family "Eukaryotic large subunit ribosomal RNA", at positions 36 to 941 of the family's 3401-position model. The record is from RNAcentral. Lineage: Eukaryota; Fungi; Ascomycota; Sordariomycetes; Diaporthales; Diaporthaceae.